RNAcentral lists this unclassified non-coding RNA (337 nucleotides) under soil metagenome. RNAcentral's name for it is "partial contains 5.8S ribosomal RNA, internal transcribed spacer 2, and large subunit ribosomal RNA". The stretch from base 1 to 120 matches the Rfam family "5.8S ribosomal RNA", at positions 35 to 154 of the family's 154-position model. The record is from RNAcentral.
GAUGAAGAACGCAGCGAAAUGCGAUAAGUAAUGUGAAUUGCAGAAUUCAGUGAAUCAUCGAAUCUUUGAACGCACAUUGCGCCCGCCAGUAUUCUGGCGGGCAUGCCUGUUCGAGCGUCAUUUCAACCAUCAAGCCCCCGGGCUUGUGUUGGGGACCUGCGGCUGCCGCAGGCCCUGAAAAGCAGUGGCGGGCUCGCUGUCACACCGAGCGUAGUAGAUUUUAUCUCGCUCAGGGCGUGCUGCAGGUUCCGGCCGUUAAACCACCUUCAUAACCCAAGGUUGACCUCGGAUCAGGUAGGAAGACCCGCUGAACUUAAGCAUAUCAAUAAGCGGAGGA